Small nucleolar RNA from Hibiscus syriacus, 123 nucleotides. The record is from RefSeq and is a predicted model, not a curated record. NCBI's taxonomy places the organism in Eukaryota, Viridiplantae, Streptophyta, Magnoliopsida, Malvales, Malvaceae.
AUCCCAGAUAAUGAUUGUUGUGAUUAUUUGAUUCAUGAGGGGCAAAGAAUAAGGAUGGGGAGUUUGCUGAUAAUGACUUUAAAUUUAACAAAAGUUGUUCUGAUAGUACGUCUGCGAACGAAA